Molecule: ribosomal RNA, 253 nt
Filed under: uncultured prokaryote
Description: partial 16S ribosomal RNA
Rfam family: Bacterial small subunit ribosomal RNA
Source: RNAcentral
ACAGAGGGGGCAAGCGUUGUUCGGAAUUACUGGGCGUAAAGCGUGCGUAGGUGGUUUGUUAAGUCCGAUGUGAAAGCCCUGGGCUCAACCUGGGAAUGGCAUUGGAUACUGGCAGGCUAGAGUGCGGUAGAGGGGUGUGGAAUUCCCGGUGUAGCAGUGAAAUGCGUAGAUAUGCGGAGGAACACCGAUGGCGAAGGCAAUCCCCUGGGCCUGCACUGACGCUCAUGCACGAAAGCGUGGGGAGCAAACAGGA